CACCGGCGGCUCGAGUGGUAACCGUUAUUAUUGGGUCUAAAGGGUCUGUAGCCGGCCGGAUAAGUCUCUUGGGAAAUCCAGCAGCUCAACUGUUGGGCUUCCAGGAGAUACUGUUCGGCUCGAGGCCGGGAGAGGUGAGAGGUACUUCAGGGGUAGGGGUGAAAUCUUGUAAUCCUUGAAGGACCACCAGUGGCGAAGGCGUCUCACCAGAACGGACCUGACGGCAAGGGACGAAAGCUAGGGGCACGAA
This 250-nucleotide ribosomal RNA is filed under the name uncultured archaeon. Its description in RNAcentral is "partial 16S ribosomal RNA". It matches the Rfam family "Archaeal small subunit ribosomal RNA", at positions 474 to 723 of the family's 1478-position model. The record is from RNAcentral.